Molecule: non-coding RNA, 86 nt
Organism: Papiliotrema laurentii
Lineage: Eukaryota; Fungi; Basidiomycota; Tremellomycetes; Tremellales; Rhynchogastremaceae
Source: the annotation of a GenBank genome assembly
GGUUCUAUCGUAUAGUCGGUUAGUACAUCGGAUUCUGAUGAUUCAAUCAUAUUCCGGUAACCUGAGUUCGAGUCUCAGUAGGACCU